Long non-coding RNA from Solea senegalensis (Senegalese sole), 337 nucleotides. RefSeq lists it as uncharacterized. The record is from RefSeq and is a predicted model, not a curated record. Lineage: Eukaryota; Metazoa; Chordata; Actinopteri; Pleuronectiformes; Soleidae. The transcript has 3 exons.
CUCUCGUCCUCCACGUCCUCUGUCUCGGUGGAGACGAUAGUACCCAGGGACAUGAGGAAGACACCACAUGAUGCUGAUGGCUGUCAUGGGAACCACUCACAUCAUCACUGGCCUGUCUGCUGCCAGUGCCGCAGUAACCAGGCUCUUGGCGUUUCUGUGAUUGGUCGAGGCUGUUUCCCCGGGUCUCAGUAAUUUACAGUUUCAUCUAUAUGGAACAGGACGGUGACAUGGAAGAGCAGAGCCGAGUCUAAGCAGAGACCAUAGAAACCAAAGACACUAUAGAGAGACUAUAGGCAGGUGCCUGGGGUGCCAUCUUUGACCACAAAUCAAUAAAUAA